RNAcentral lists this transfer RNA (82 nucleotides) under Actinomyces massiliensis F0489. Its description in RNAcentral is "tRNA-Asp". Lineage: Bacteria; Bacillati; Actinomycetota; Actinomycetes; Actinomycetales; Actinomycetaceae. The record is from RNAcentral.
UGUUGCCCGGGCGGGCCGAGGAUGAUCGGUUAUCGUCUGUUAAACGGACCAGCAGGUUCGGGGUUCGAGUCCCCGCCGACAU